AUAGAAACGGGCGAUGGAGUUCGCCUUUAACCGCUUGAAAAGCUGAUAACUCCUACCCGAAA
This 62-nucleotide non-coding RNA is filed under the name uncultured archaeon. RNAcentral describes it as "crcB". It matches the Rfam family "Fluoride riboswitch aptamer (crcB RNA motif)". The record is from RNAcentral.